UAAUAAGUGUUUAUGGCACUUUUUAAAUCCAUAUCCACCUUGUGUGCAACGUCAGUCGAUCUUCUUCAUGGAGAUCGACCAAACAUCAACCUUUAUCUUUUAACUCUUUGUCUGAAAAAUAUUAUGAAUAAACAAUUCAAAAUA
Molecule: unclassified non-coding RNA, 144 nt
Filed under: soil metagenome
Description: partial internal transcribed spacer 1
Source: RNAcentral